GCUCACCAAGUACUCGCCGUGGAGGACCCCCUCGGCCGCGUCUUCCUCUUCUCCGCGGCCGGUGAUGCGCUGCUUGAGCUUGGUUUCCCUGACGAGGCCUCCAACUCGCAAGAACUACUCACUGUACAUGAAGGAACGGGAGAAGUAAGUGUUGAUUAAUUACCAAGUGUAGGAGCAUCUGUGGUGCUACUGCAUCUCCUGUCUACUGUCUAGCGAAAGUCAAGUCUCCGUUUAUAUUGAUAAUCUCUGUUUCUCAAGCUGCUGCUCCUGUCUAUUGUCAUGGUAUGUGUAAAUCGGACCGGAUCGAUCACCUGCAGUUCGUCUGUCCCCACCUCGCCUGCCUACAAGCAGGAGGCUGACGGUGCCGAGGAGGAGGGCGCUGAGGAGAGCAAGAUAGAGGAGGUCAACUAAAUUAUCAUUUCUAGAGAAGAAGAUAAACAGUUGGGUCAGUUAGUGUCGUGUCACCGGAGUCUUGUUGACUGUUGGGUCGAAUGUAUGUGUUGCUUGGUGUCGUGAGCUUGUAGAAUGUGAGAAGUGAAGACGGCCGAAUUCUAAAGAAAAAAGAGAAGAGUUUAAAGUCCGAAACUUUUUUAUUUUUUGUAUGAACUGAAUUGCAUCUACCUUAGUUGAUCAAAUUCAGAUUUUGGGAUGUGACUUUCCUCUUCUUCAAAUUCAGAUAUACUGAGAGGUGUAUUACUGAGGCGCCCUUCUUGAAAUUUAUGAAUUCGAAUCAUUCUAAAGCAUGAAGAAUUUUUGUUUGUGCCUGAACUGGAAAGUAUAUUUUUGUAGGCAGCAAGGAACAGCUCCAACUGAAUCUCCAAGUGUUGUUUGCCUCAACUGAAUCUCCAUCUAUCUGCGCGUUCUUGGCGGUGGAUGGUACGGUACAGUUGGACGAGGAAAUUACAUCGCAACCUAGCGUGUCUUCGGCAUGUCCCGUGUGUGAGAUGUGAGAAGUUUAGGGAGUAAUCUGGUUGAGUUCUCAAACUUUUUGUGUUCUGUGAUAUCUUGGAACUCAAACCGAAACGGUCUUUGAUGAUCAAAUCUAGUGUUUGGUCUUUCUUCACCGGCUAACAUUCAUGUUGUCGAAUAUAUUCUCAAGUGUAUCUGCAGAGCAAAGAUUCGAUCUGAUGAAUCGACGCUUUGGUAUGUACACAUUUUGUGACUAGAUCUUGUAACUUUGACCAUGGGAAGAAAAUUGUUGAAAUGAUUCCCCCUAUAAUUUUUGUGUAAAAUGCAUGGCAAUAGACAGACCAUAGACCUAAUAAAUUUAUAAAUUAGGUAAAAACAAAAUGGUAACUUUAAUCAUGGGGAAGAAAUUU
Molecule: long non-coding RNA, 1319 nt
Filed under: Triticum aestivum (bread wheat)
Lineage: Eukaryota; Viridiplantae; Streptophyta; Magnoliopsida; Poales; Poaceae
Description: long non-coding RNA (TAES_LNC001943)
Source: RNAcentral